Molecule: ribosomal RNA, 639 nt
Filed under: Naganishia vishniacii
Lineage: Eukaryota; Fungi; Basidiomycota; Tremellomycetes; Filobasidiales; Filobasidiaceae
Description: partial large subunit ribosomal RNA
Rfam family: Eukaryotic large subunit ribosomal RNA
Source: RNAcentral
UGAACUUAAGCAUAUCAAUAAGCGGAGGAAAAGAAACUAACAAGGAUUCCCCUAGUAACGGCGAGUGAAGCGGGAAGAGCUCAAAUUUGAAAUCUGGUAGCCUUCGGUUGCCCGAGUUGUAAUCUAGAGAAGUGUUUUCCGUGCCGGCCCAUGUACAAGUCCCUUGGAACAGGGCGUCAUAGAGGGUGAGAAUCCCGUCCUUGACAUGGACCCCCGGUGCUUUGUGAUACACUUUCAACGAGUCGAGUUGUUUGGGAAUGCAGCUCAAAAUGGGUGGUGAAUUCCAUCUAAAGCUAAAUAUUGGCGAGAGACCGAUAGCGAACAAGUACCGUGAGGGAAAGAUGAAAAGCACUUUGGAAAGAGAGUUAAACAGUACGUGAAAUUGUUGAAAGGGAAACGAUUGAAGUCAGUCAUGCUCUUUGGUUUAAGCCGUUCUGCGGUGUAUAUCAUUGAGUGGGGUCAACAUCAGUUUUGAUCGAUGGAUAAAGGCACUAGGAAGGUAGCACUCUCGGGUGAACUUAUAGCCUGGCGUCAUAUACAUUGAUUGGGACUGAGGAACGCAGCAUGCCUUCGGGCCGGGAUUCGUCCACGUACAUGCUUAGGAUGUUGACAUAAUGGCUUUAAACGACCCGUCUUGAA